UAUAUAUAAAGAAUUUUCUAUUCAAGCAAAUAAUGUGUGUGUGUGUACAUUAUAUACACACACAUACAUUAUUUGCUUGAAUAGAAAAUCACUUC
RNAcentral lists this microRNA precursor (95 nucleotides) under Marmota monax (woodchuck). Lineage: Eukaryota; Metazoa; Chordata; Mammalia; Rodentia; Sciuridae. The record is from RNAcentral.